GCGCAUAUGGCCGAGUGGUUUAAGGCGAUGGUUUUAAGAUUUGUUUUAAACACCAUUAUCGAGAGAUGCCUGGGUUCGAACCCCAGUGUGCGCA
RNAcentral lists this transfer RNA (94 nucleotides) under Trichoderma longibrachiatum. RNAcentral's name for it is "tRNA-Leu". It matches the Rfam family "tRNA". From Rfam's summary of the family: Transfer RNA (tRNA) molecules are approximately 80 nucleotides in length. Their secondary structure includes four short double-helical elements and three loops (D, anti-codon, and T loops). The record is from RNAcentral. RNAcentral also lists the same sequence under 2 other names. Lineage: Eukaryota; Fungi; Ascomycota; Sordariomycetes; Hypocreales; Hypocreaceae.